GCUAGCCUCAGUGGGAAAAGCCUGCUUGCAUUCACUCUAUCUAUACCCAUCAUAAUUUUAUACACCUCUAUCAAAUCUCCCGUCACCUCCGCAAAUUUUAUCACGCUCAAACCUCUGCCUUUACCUUGGUGUGAGUUGACGGAGGACCCACAUAAAGAAUGUUACAAUUAACGGCCAUUAAGUGAAUCACAUCUGGGUCCGCGCAGAGCAAUUCUUUGAAUUCCUUAGAAUGAUAUUUGUGGUAAUAUAACCUUAUGUGUUGUUUGUGAGUUAUUUGUACUGUGUUCUAUACUUUGGCAUGGAGGAACGUCGUUUAGCUUGGUGGUUAAAUUGUCAGGAGGCUUGACCCGAGCACAAAGCAGCAGAGAUGCCUUAGCAGUGAAUGAUAACUUUAAUAAUAACAAGCCACAAGGGGCCACAAACACCUUUACGCCCGCUUUGAAAGGGAGAAUGUGUGAAUCCCUGCAUCAUCUGGUGACCCUGUGACCCCUGUGUCAGAGCCUGAUGUCAGGACGUCUUUCAAGAAGAUGCCAAGGCCUGAUGAUGUGGCUCACAAAGCCUGCGCCAACCAACUGGUGGGGGUAUUCCAGGACACCGUCAAUCUCUCACUUCAGCAUUCGGAGGUUCCACCUGCUUCAAACGAGCAACAAUCACACCAAGAAGAGCAGGGUGAGCUGCUUCGAUGACUAUCACCCAGUGGCACUCACAUCUACCGUGAUGAAGGGUUUUAAAGGUUAGCUAUGGCCAGAAUCAACUCCUGCCUAAACAAGGAUCUGGACCUGCUGCAGUUCGCCUGUUGCCACACUGGGUCAACAGUGGAUUCGAUCUCACUCGGUCCUGGAUCACCUGGACAAUGGCAAUAUCAUCAUCAGGCUGUUGUUAAUUGAUUACAGCUCAGCAUUCAAUACUAUCAUAUCCUCAGUUCUAAUCAACAAACUCCAUCGGAAAUAACAUCUCCUCCUUAUAACCAUAUAACAAUUACAGCACGGAAACAGGCCAUCUCGGCCCUUCUUGUCCAUUUUGAACGCUUAAUCUCACCAAGUCCCACUGACCCGCACUCAGCCCAUAACCCUCCAUUCCUUUCCUGUCCAUAUACCUAUCCAAUUUUAUUUUAAAUGACAAUAUUGAACCUGCCUCUACCACUUCUACUGGAAGCUCAUUCCACACAGCUACCACUCUCUGAGUAAAGAAGUUCCCCCUCGUGUUACACUAAACUUUUGCCCCCUAACUCUCAACUCAUGUCCUCUUGUUUGAAUCUCCCCUACUCUCAGUGGAAAAAGCCUACCCAUGUCAACUCUAUCUAUCCCCCUCAUAAUUUUAAAUACCUCUAUCAAGUCCCCCCUCAACCUUCUAAGCUCCAAAGAAUGAAGACCUAACUUGUUCAACCUUUCUCUGUAACUUAGGUACUGAAACCCAGGUAACAUUCUAGUCAAUCUUCUCUGUACUCUCUCUAUUUUGAUGACAUCUUUCCUGUAAUUUGGUGACCAGAACUGUACACAAUACUCCAAAUUCGGCCUUACCAAUGUCUUGUAUAAUUUCAACAUUACAUUCCAACUCCUAUACUCAAUAAUCUGAUUUAUAAAGGCCAGCACACCAAAAGCUUUCUUCACCACCCUAUCCAUAUGAGAUUCCACCUUCAGGGAACUACGCACCAUUAUUCCUAGAUCACUCUGUUCUACUGCAUUCUUCAAUGCCCUACCAUUUACCAUGUAUGUCCUAUUUUGAUUAGUCCUACCAAAAUGUAGCACCUCACACUUAUCAGCAUUAAACUCCAUCUGCUAUCUUUCAGCCCACUCUUCUAAAUGGCCUAAAUCUCUCUGCAAGCUUUGAAAACCUACUUCAUUAUCCACAACGCCACCUAUCUUAGUAUCAUCUGCAUACUUACUAAUCCAAUUUACCACCCCAUCAUCCAGAUCAUUAAUGUAUAUGACAAACAACAUCUGACCCAGUACAGAUCCCUGAGGCACACCUCUAGUCACCAGCCUCCAACCUGACAAACAGUUAUCCACCACUACUCUCUGGCAUCUCCCAUCCAGCCACUGUUGAAUCCAUUUUACUACUUCAAUAUUAAUACCUAACGAUUGAACCUUCCUAACUAACCUUCUGUGUGGAACCUUAUCAAAGGCCUUACUGAAGUCCAUAUAGACAACAUCUACUGCUUUACCCUCAUCAACUUUCCUAGUAACCUCUUCAAAAAAUUCAAUAAGAUUUGUCAAACAUGACCUUCCAUGCACAAAUCCAUGCUGACAGUCAACUCUGACGCACCUCAACGAUUCAUGCUUAACCCACUGCACUACUCUCUCUACACCCACAACAGUGUGGCUAGGCACUGCUGAAACCUCAUCUAUAAACGCUGAUGAUGCAACUAUUGUUGGCAGAGUUUCAGGUGGUGAUGAGGAGACCUACAGAAGCGAGAUAGAUCAGCUAGUUGAGUAGUAUUGCAACAACAACUUUGCACUUAGCAUCAGUAAGGCCAAUGGAUUGAUCAUGGACUCCAGGAAGGGUCAGUUGAGGAAUAUACACUAGUCCUCACUGAGGGAUCAGAAGUGGAAAACAUGAGCAGUUUCAAGUUCCUGGGUGUCAAUUCUCUGGUGAUCUAUCCUAGACUCGACAUGCAAUUGCAAUUACAAAUAAGGCAUGUCAGCGGCGAUAUUUCCUUAGGAGUUUGAGGAUAAUUGGUAUGUCACCAAAGACACUGAGAUUUCUGCAGAUGUACUGUGGAGAGCAUCGGGACUGGUUGUAUCUAGUAUGGAGGGGCCGCUGCACGGGAUUGUAAAAAGCCGCAGAAACUUGUAAACUCUGUCAGCUCUGUCAAGAGUACCAGCCUCCCCAGCAUCCAGCAUUCAAAAGGCGAUGCCUCAAAAUGGUAGCUUACAUCAUUAAGGACCCCCAUCACUCAGGACAUGCCCUCUUCUCAUUGCUAUUAUCACAGAGGAUGUCCAGGAGCCUGAAGACACACACUCAACAUUUCAGGGACAGCUUCUUCUUCUCUGCCGUCAUACUGAUCCUAUUUCUAAAUGGACAAUGAACCCAUGAACACUAGCUCAGCAUUUUCCCCUUUCUUUUGCACCACUAAUGUAAUUUAAUUUUCUUUCUUUAUACAUACUUUGUAUUGUCAUUUAUAGUUUUUAUUAUUAUGGGUAUAUUUCAAUGCACUGCUGCUGUGAAACAACAAAUUUUACAACAUUUGCUGGUGAUAUUAAACCUGAUUCUGAUUCUGAAAACAAGAGAGAACCACUAUUAACCACAACAAGGCAGAAAGGUAACUGAAGGCUAAGAGAAACUGGUUGAAGCUUUCUGGUCAAUGGGUGAACAAGGACAAUGGGUUUAAAUAGGCUGCCGGAGAAAAUGAGUGAGUUGAGUUGAGUUUCCAAAUGAGUUGGAAAUGAGUGGCAGGUGACCCCCUGUUAGCUGGGUUGAGCUGACUUAGACCAGACAUUUCACUGGGAAAACCAGACGGCAAGUCUUGUCACAUUUGUAAACAUGCUAUAUUAGCACCAGAAGCAUGUUGCCAUUUGCGGGCUACCCCCAGCACAUCCUCGGACUGUGUCAGCCACUGACAUGUUUCACUGUACACUCAGUGGCCACUUUAUUAGGUAACUCCUGUAUCUAAAUAAGUGACCAUUGACUGCUUUUCAUGUUCUUCUGCUGUUGUAGUCCAUCCACUUCAAGGUUCAAUGUGCUGUGCAUUCAGAGAUGCUCCGUAAUGUGUGGUUAUUGGAGUUACUGUUGCCUUCCUUCAGCUUGGACCAGUCUGGCCUUUCUCCACUGCUGUCUCGCAUCAACAUUUUCACCCACAGAACUGCCACUCUCUGGAUGUUUUACUUUUUGGUUUUCACACCAUUCUCUGUAAACUCUAGAGACUGUGUAAAUGAAAAUCCCAGGAGAUCAGCAGUUUCUGAGAUGGUCAAACCACCCUGUCUGGCACCAACAAAGUCAAAGUCACUUGGAUCACAUUUCUUCCCCAUUCUGACGUUUGGUCUGAACAGCCAAACCUCUUGACUAUGUCUGCUUGCUUUUGUGCACUGAAUUGCUGCCAUGCCACUGGCUGAUUAAAUAUUUCUGUUCAUGAUCAGGUGCCAGAGUGUACCUAAAAAAGUGGCCACUAAAUGUAUUUCUGUGUUCUGACACGAACGUUACCACAGGGACAAAGGUGGAGUAGCGAUAUAAAAGGAAACUGUCUCAGCAAAACAGGCGAUGUUGCUGCCGCUGACCCGAGAAGAGCUUUCUCAGCGUUGAGAAAGUACAGACGACGUGCUGAUACAUGUCACCAGCCACAGGACUGCAGUAUGACUCUGAUGACAGGCGUGGAUAAUGUGAACAGCUGCAAUGAAUUACACAGGCCUGCCGUAUUGCAACUGAUUUGUAAACUUAAAGCUAUGAUACCACCACAAAAGGCAGGAUCUCCCAGCGGCCACCCAUUUCAAUCUGACUUCCCAUUCCAAUAUGUCUACUAAGGUUGGAGGAGCAACACCUCACAUUCCAUCCAGAGAUCCUGCCCGACCCGCUGAGUUCCUCCAGCAUUUUGUGUGUGCUGCUCUGGAUUUCCAGCGUCUUGCAUUUAGGAUACUGCUCUGAAGCAAAACGAUGGCAAGCCCUGCACCGUCCGGCGUCUGGCUCCUUUCCUGUAUCAUCAUUCCACGUCCAAUACCGUGGCGCUCCGGUGCGACGUCGGCAGCUCACACCGACGUUCCCAGUGGCCAGCGCUGCGUACUGUUCCCGUUUCAAAAUGCGCUUGUGGAAUUAUGGUGAGAUGUUCAGUUUCAUUAAUUGUUACAUUUUAGCUCAGGUUCGUGGGUCACCCUGACUGUAACCAGGGUGCAUCAUAAUCCCCUCCCCAAUCUGUAUGUGACUGAGCUGCUGCUUGUCACAAUAAAGAUGGCAGUUGAGUUAAACGAGCUCUUCUCUGUCAUCGUGGACAGAAUGCUCGCCACAUUGGCGUCAGAAGUGGGAUUAGAAACGGACAGAAGAUUGAAGAGCUACGACAUUGGAUGGAAGACCUUCAGACCCUGGGGCUGAGUCUCCUCCGCACCCCAGGCCGUGCUCCCAGAGUUUGGAUGCCGACUCACUGGGAGAGCCUGGGAACUGGGCAGUCCGGCGGGUUAUGGUCCCCGGCAACUGUGCAGUGAUGCAAGGGAAGAGAUGACUGCGUGUCGUAGAGGGGAAAAGCCCAGUGGAGCACGAGGUAUGCCUAGCCAACAUCCAGAACAUCUGCAUCAUUGGCCUGGACGUGCUGUCUUGCCAGGGACCCAUGUGGACGUGCUUGUUGCCGAAGCUGGUGCUCUCCGGCAGGGCAGCUCCAGGAAGAGGACCAGCUGGGUCCUGCACCAACCACCACCAGUCUCACCACGGCCCUCUGCUGUGCAGUACACCCCACAACAGCCAACGCAACACAGCAGAACCAGGGGCCACCAGGACUGGCCACUUCAGGGCCGCAAAGACGUUGGACAAGCUGCGGGGACGCUUCUAUUGGCCUGGGUGCAGGCGGGACGCCAGUCUAGGGCACCCAUGCAGUGGUACCUGGUGGGGGCCCCAGUACAGGUCUACUGCCCCACACUCAGAAGGAGAGACUAUCCCCCAAGCGUGGAAGCCACUGGAAGUGGUGGGGGUGGGGGGGGGGGAGAGGUCUGCAUCUCCGAUGUGGUAUACCGGAUGCAGUGGCCUGAGCAGUGGAAGGCAGUCGUACUGCACUGGGACCGGCUGGCACCAUAUCGGCCCUCUGCCAGGCUGAAGGAAGGAAGUGACACUCCGGGGCCCUGCCUCUUGCCUCACUAAACAGUGCCUCUCCUGGGGGGGGGGGGGGGGGGAGCUACAGACACUGCCAGUGCUCCAGGUGGCUGUGUUGACCACCAUCGGGACUUUUGAACUUUGUUGUGGACUCUGGGGUUGCUGGGGAGGGCUGAUCCCUCAGGUGGGGGCAGAGUGGCCAACAACUCACCUCAGCAUUCCCAGUGGCCGGCGCUACUUAUUGAUCUUGUGUUGAAAUGUGUUCACGUUCAAGUUCAUUUAUUUUAGCUCAGGUUAUACAGUUGUUCGCUUGUGUGUUUGUGGGUCACCCAGACUGUGACUGGGGUACGUAAUAAUCACCUCCCCUGCAUCUGUAUGUUGCUGAGUGGGUUCUCACCGAGUGAUGGCGCUCUGUCUGUUGUUGGGCUCGAGAUAGACGAGUUCUUCUCGUCUGUCAUCACGGACCGAAUGCUCGCCGCAAUACGAGG
This is a long non-coding RNA of Hypanus sabinus (Atlantic stingray), 6215 nucleotides long. RefSeq lists it as uncharacterized. NCBI's taxonomy places the organism in Eukaryota, Metazoa, Chordata, Chondrichthyes, Myliobatiformes, Dasyatidae. The transcript has 3 exons. The record is from RefSeq and is a predicted model, not a curated record.